AUUGAACGCUGGCGGCAGGCCUAACACAUGCAAGUCGAACGGUAACAGGAAGAAGCUUGCUUCUUUGCUGACGAGUGGCGGACGGGUGAGUAAUGUCUGGGAAACUCCCUGAUGGAGGGGGAUAACUACUGGAAACGGUAGCUAAUACCGCAUAACGUCGCAAGACCAAAGAGGGGGACCUUCGGGCCUCUUGCCAUCGGAUGUGCCCAGAUGGGAUUAGCUAGUAGGUGGGGUAACGGCUCACCUAGGCGACGAUCCCUAGCUGGUCUGAGAGGAUGACCAGCCACACUGGAACUGAGACACGGUCCAGACUCCUACGGGAGGCAGCAGUGGGGAAUAUUGCACAAUGGGCGCAAGCCUGAUGCAGCCAUGCCGCGUGUAUGAAGAAGGCCUUCGGGUUGUAAAGUACUUUCAGCGGGGAGGAAGGGAGUAAAGUUAAUACCUUGGCUCAUUGACGUUACCCGCAGAAGAAGCACCGGCUAACUCCGUG
Molecule: ribosomal RNA, 490 nt
Filed under: uncultured bacterium
Lineage: Bacteria
Description: partial 16S ribosomal RNA
Rfam family: Bacterial small subunit ribosomal RNA
Source: RNAcentral